GAUGAACGCUGGCGGCGUGCCUAAUACAUGCAAGUCGAGCGAACGGACGAGAAGCUUGCUUCUCUGAUGUUAGCGGCGGACGGGUGAGUAACACGUGGAUAACCUACCUAUAAGACUGGGAUAACUUCGGGAAACCGGAGCUAAUACCGGAUAAUAUAUUGAACCGCAUGGUUCAAAAGUGAAAGACGGUUUUGCUGUUACUUAUAGAUGGAUCCGCGCUGCAUUAGCUAGUUGGUAAGGUAACGGCUUACCAAGGCAACGAUGCGUAGCCGACCUGAGAGGGUGAUCGGCCACACUGGAACUGAGACACGGUCCAGACUCCUACGGGAGGCAGCAGUAGGGAAUCUUCCGCAAUGGGCGAAAGCCUGACGGAGCAACGCCGCGUGAGUGAUGAAGGUCUUCGGAUCGUAAAACUCUGUUAUUAGGGAAGAACAUAUGUGUAAGUAACUGUGCACAUCUUGACGGUACCUAAUCAGAAAGCCACGGCUAACUACGUG
RNAcentral lists this ribosomal RNA (497 nucleotides) under uncultured bacterium. Its description in RNAcentral is "partial 16S ribosomal RNA". It matches the Rfam family "Bacterial small subunit ribosomal RNA", at positions 28 to 507 of the family's 1533-position model. The record is from RNAcentral.